Molecule: long non-coding RNA, 2452 nt
Organism: Harpia harpyja (harpy eagle)
Lineage: Eukaryota; Metazoa; Chordata; Aves; Accipitriformes; Accipitridae
Exons: 3
Source: RefSeq, a predicted model, not a curated record
ACGUGAGACUGCGAAUGUGCAGUGGCACGCAGUUGCUUGUACCCCAUGGGAAUAUGAGACACAAGACUGUUAAGGAAAGGAAAUUAUUUUUACUUGACAAACUCAUAAUGCUCGUGAAGACCAGAAAGCACGUACUCUGAUUUUCUGUUGCAGACUCAAAGGGGUUUUAUGUCCUCAAAAUUUGUCCUUUUUAUUUUUUUUUAAUUGCAGUGCUAAUCUAAUAUUUAAGUCUAUAGAACAACCCAUUAGAAAAAGACCCUUUGCCCUGUAAUAUUUGCCCUCAUUAGUAUUGCUGCAAAGGUAGUAAUCAGAGUAAUUUUUCACUUGCUCUGCUAAAUCAUUGGCAAAUGUAUUGUUUACUGGUUAAAUGCUUAGUUGCUUUAGCAAAGAAAAUAGGAUCUUAAAUAGGUUAUUUUUGUGGGUUUUUUUUCCAAUGAAGUGGGACCAGUAAGAGAUAAUAGUGUCAGGGAAGUGCAAUAUUUGCAAAAAUUCUGUACUAAAAGCUUGCUGUUAAUUUACUGGCAUUAACUUGCUUUUGUAAUCAUGUCUUAGUCUGUUUUUAAAAGCUGUAUAAAGUGGAUUGAAAAAUAUACUUUCCAGCUGAUGUAGGCUCUGUAUAACUUAGGUGGGUGUGAGGUCACAGCUAUGUUGAUAAGCAUAGACUAGACAGUAGUCUUGAAGCACAUUUUUAAAACAGGGUUAGUAACAAUUUUCAGGGCUAUAAAUUGGUUUACAAAUCACUUGGUGGUCUUUAAGUGAAAAACACUGCGCUCUUAGUAUGACAUAUUUCUGAUUCUGUCAGAGAAUUCUGAUGCCUCCUGUUCACUUCUCCAUUUCCCUCUAGCAUAAGCAGCAGUAGCCUGUGAUCAGCCAGUAAGGCCAAAAGAAAGCCCUGAGGGUUAGUGUUCUCAGCUGUGCUGUCUCAUCCCAGCUUCUCUGCUAAAGUGACAGCAGGUGAUCCCUCUGAACUUAAGCAGGCAGGGCAGCUGCAUCUGGUCAGUAGAGGUGCAUAAAAAAGGGGCAGUCUCAGAGGGGGAUAAUACUUCUAUUGCUUUAGUUUUGGGGUGUUGGCUUAAGAUCUUGUUUCUCUAAGAAGUUGUCUUUUAUUAAUAGGUGUACUAAACUGGGGAAAUUAUGGAGGGAUUUGAUGCUUAAAUUGUUGAAGGUGUUCCUGGUAGAGAGAAAUGACUUGUAGAUGAACAGAAUAACAACAAACCUUAAAUGUGAAACUCAACAAGGAGAAUAGAAGAAAUCAAAGUGUGACUUCAACAUUACCUGACAACUGUGGCAUCUGUUUAUUUUUAUAGCCAGACCUUCUUAUCAUCUUAUUUCAAUUGAAUGUUCUACUUGGGACUGGUGGAUCCAGGUGCCAGACCUCAAUCUACUGAGCAUUAAUCUGUGCCAGCAGUGUUAUAACAUUAACUUUUUACUCUUGCAGUAUUUUUAACUACCUUUCAUUUGUUUGCUUAGAAAGCUUUUCUACUCUGAUCUUCACUGAAGUUUUCUUGCAAGUGAGCUAAAACCAGAUCCCUUGGUAUCUGUCUUGGCUUUAGCAGAACCUUGUCUGACUGACUUAGAGUAAAAUCAGUCUGCAUAUAAUUGGGGAUUUGUGUGUAUGUUCAUAUGGGCAUGUGCAGCCUGGAAGGUGGAAGCUCUUUAGCAUAAUUAAGCAUUAAGUCUGGAUUUGUACAGUUCUUAGUGCUGUUGACAGUAAUGUUAUGUUUAUUCUGAAUACUAGUAAGAAUUUAAUAACUUCAAUGCAAGUGUUGUUUCUUUGUCCGUUAUUUUAAUGAAUCUGUCUUACUGCAUUUGUGGUCGUGCUAUCAGGGUGUUCGAGGCUUUGAAGUCAUGCAGUGUAGAUAUGGUAGGGGAAGUGUGUGUUUCACAGAUGAAAGGGAAGGGGAGUGAAUAAGGUGGGGAGGUGUUAAGAGAUAAGCACCUGACAGAAGAUGCAGGAUAAACCCAGAGCUUGUCUUAAGGCAAUGAUAAAAUUUUGUUGUGCAGCAAUAACGGUCUAGACCAAGUAACAAAUAAUGCACGCUUACUUUUUUUUUGCCUUCACUUAACUAGCAAGUGACGAUUGUGUCUGAUCAAACAUAGGGUGAUACAGUCCAUGUGUACCUAGAUAGCUUUACUAGUGAAAUCUCCAAAGCUGGAGAGUUGGGUUUUGUGUUCUGGUUCUUAAAAUACUGAAUAAAACAAGACUGGAGUAAUUGGAUGACUGAUAUGUCCAGGUAUCAGCAGAGAUUAAUUUUUUUAGCUUAACUUCUACAGUGUAGGGUACUGAAAUGCAAACUGGACUUCAGUGAAAACUUGUUCUAAUAGCAUCUUGAUCCAGACUGGAGACUUGAUGAGGAGAGGAGGUAGUCUAGUGCUAACAGCUGUGAGCAAGAGGAAAAGGAAGCACAGAAAUCUGCUGUCAUUUCUUGAAAAGAAGGUGAAAUAAGAUAAU